GAGUUUGAUCCUGGCUCAGGAUGAACGCUAGCGGGAGGCUUAAUACAUGCAAGUCGAGCGGCAAGUUUUGAUAGCAAUAUUGGAACCUAGAGCGGCGCACGGGUGAGUAACGCGUACAUGACCUGCCCUAUACUGGGGGAUAGUCUUGGGAAACUGAGAAUAAUCCCGCAUGUGAUUAGAAUGCUGCAUGGCAAAUUAAUUAAAGCUGAGGCGGUAUAGGAUGGGUGUGCGUCUGAUUAGCUAGUUGGUAGUGUAACGGACUACCAAGCCUGCGAUCAGUAGCUGAUGUGAGAGCAUGAUCAGCCACACGGGCACUGAGACACGGGCCCGACUCCUACGGGAGGCAGCAGUAAGGAAUAUUGGACAAUGGUCGCAAGACUGAUCCAGCCAUGUCGCGUGCAGGAUGAACGAUCUAUGAUCUGUAAACUGCUUUUGUUCGGGAAUAAACCCCUUCACGUGUGGAGGGCUGAAUGUACCGAAAGAAUAAGGGUCGGCUAACUUCGUGCCAGCAGCCGCGGUAAUCC
RNAcentral lists this ribosomal RNA (524 nucleotides) under uncultured bacterium. Its description in RNAcentral is "bacterial SSU rRNA". It matches the Rfam family "Bacterial small subunit ribosomal RNA", at positions 9 to 526 of the family's 1533-position model. The record is from RNAcentral.